UACGGAGGGUGCAAGCGUUAAUCGGAAUUACUGGGCGUAAAGCGUACGUAGGCGGCUUGUUAAGCAAGAUGUGAAAUCCCCGGGCUCAACCUGGGAAUGGCAUUUUGAACUGGCAGGCUCGAGUUCUGAAGAGGGUGGUAGAAUUUCCAGUGUAGCGGUGAAAUGCGUAGAUAUUGGAAGGAAUACCGGUGGGGAAGGCGGCCACCUGGUCAGAAAUUGACGCUGAGGUACGAAAGCGUGGGGAGCAAACAGG
This 253-nucleotide ribosomal RNA is filed under the name uncultured microorganism. RNAcentral describes it as "partial 16S ribosomal RNA". It matches the Rfam family "Bacterial small subunit ribosomal RNA", at positions 524 to 776 of the family's 1533-position model. The record is from RNAcentral.